AUUUAUUUAGAUUCGUUGUUAUUUAGAUCGUUAUUUAGAUCACGCUUAUAUUUAGUAAAAUAGGAAGAAAACUGAUCGUUGAUAUGUGAAAUCUCCAAUUUUGUUUAUGUAUCUACUAAAUUAAAAAUGUUUAUUAUAUCUAUAUGGAUAUUCACUGAAAAUAUGUGAUGUUGCGAUGAGUAGUUUGAUUGAUGAAAUCAGCUUGGUCUGAUCUGUAAAUACAAAUUAUUUGGUCGUCUGUCAAUUAUUACAAAUCUCUUAACAAAACAAAGUUCCAAUUUGUUGUGGGGUUGGAUGAUUAAGAAAAAGUAGUCACUGGUGAUUCACUUAAGGUGUUAGUCCUGUAUUAAAAAGCUGUAACUUUUGUGUGCUGAUGUAAUCUUUUAGUUGCAGGUUGUUAAUUUUAGAACAGAAUUGUAAAAAACUCUUUUAUUUGGUUUCUGUAUAGUGAUGGAAAAUAUUUGAUGCCAGUUACUUUGUGUCUCAGUAAGCAAGCUACUAGAUAGUUUCUAUCAUAGUUUGCUGCAAGAUGACCAUAAUUACGGCCAGGGCCAGCGAAGCACAAGAACAUGUUAGAGCUAGAGUUCUUUGAAAAGCUAUUUGUUCAUUACCUUACAAAAAUUCCUGAUUGGUGGCUGCGGUUUACUAUCUUCUAUGUUUCUGUUUACAGUUAAUCACAUGUAAGACACAAAGUAAAGGUCCGCAGAAAAAUACGAUAUCCUGAACUUCAGAAAUAGUACGAAAAGGUUCACAACUACUCAUCAGAAAUCCAGGUUAGACCGCAUCUCCUUCUCUGUUUGCAAUGUAACCUCUCAUAUUAUAUUUUUGGUUUUGAUUUCAUGUCAAAUAUACAUUUCUGAGUUUUGAAGGAAAUUGGUAAAUAUGAUUAGGAGAGUAAAGUAUUUCGAGAUCCAACCAGAGAGCCACAGACCGUUUUCUAUGGUGUGGCUCUGCCGAUGGAAAUCUUGUGGUCAUUUUCCCAUGUGUAAGCUUUCAUGUAUUUGGUGAAAAUAUGCGCUUUGGUGGACUCUUUUGCUGCAAAACGGCUAAUGGAGACGGUAACGGAACAAUGCACAUCAACAUACUCGAUAGUUAAAGUGAAAGAAUAAAUAAGAACGAGGACAUGCUAGGCGGAUCAAAAGCACCACCAAUGGCCAAGCAAAACGCUACGUCUGGUACUCUUGCAAGUAGGGAGUUCUAUAAAGAAUCUUCUCAGCCUUCCAACGCUUUGAAAAAGACAACAGUGGAUAUAUCACAAUGGAAGCGCUGGAGCAGUCCCUGAGGGACACUAAUGGUGGAAGAGACCUUAAUGAAAUUAUUUCUGAAGUUGAUGGAGAAAAAUAGUUUCAAAGAAGGGGAGCUUCGCCACUUCUUCCUCUUUGUGUCACAUCUAUAGAAACGUCUGUUUCGUUCCAUUUCAGGCUCCUCUGCGGCUUCUCGGUGGCAUUUCCAACUUCAUACAUUUUACACAUGGGAUGCUAACAAGUAACAACUUGCUAUCGUAAAUAAGGAUGAUAAAAGACAUAAACAUGGAGAAAAUACACUUUGUAUUAUGAGAGAACUGCAUCAGUUUAAAAUAUUGUAAUUGUCGAGUGGGAGAACGGAGUACUGAAUUAAUUUACACACUGUAUUAGCAGCCCUUGACCACUAAGAUAAGCUAUCUCAAAAGAUUUGAUUGCUUAAGAAAGAAAGCUCAAAUAUAUUUUUGGAUCAAAUAGUUGGUAAAGCCUUCAGUUUCCAGCUUAAGUUGGGCGAUUUCAACUUCACUUUCCAGCUCAAGUUGGGCGAGUUCAACUUCACUUCCUAACACCAAACCUUCACUGUAUCACGCAUAAUAACUGAGCACGAGAGGGAUGACCAUGGACCCGAUGACAAUGGAGAUGUUGCAGAGUUGGCAAAAGAUGUGGCACCAUCAAACGGUGAGAGCGUGAAGAAGAAGGCACGUCAGGAGUAGACCAACUUGGAUUAAACAAUUUCCCACCGCUUUGCUUAUCAAAUAAUGCUUUAUCAUAGUUUUCCCUAAUAUUUUGAACUCUCUAAUAUCUUUUACAUUUUCAAUUUAAUCUCUUUGUUUCGGUGGAUGUUUAAGCUAUAAAUGCAAUUUGUUCCUUUUCUUUAAAAUUUCAACUUGGCCUUAUUAUUAUAGAUUAUAACUCUUACCGCUUUCUUGGAUUGGAUUUUAUCACUAUUUAUGCAGCUUAAACUUUAAUUAUCCUUUUAGGUUAAUAACCUUAUUCCAAAAUUUAUGAAAUCAUGUAAAUUCCAAACCAACUGAGGCACAAAUAUCUGAUUAAAGGUUAACCAAAUUUAUCAACGAAAUUAAACCAUAAUGCAUAAAGUAUCGUGCUUUAUAAUACGAGCAUAUAUAGAAUUACAUUUGGAUUGUUCUUUAAGAUCGAACAUACAUUUGUUGACACUUUCCAAAAACUGUUUGUGACUUAUAGUAAAUAAAACAGAUUAUAAGUAAUAUUUUCUUGCAUCACUUUCUCUAAUCCUUAAAUUUGACGUUUGAAAAUUUAAAAUUUCAUUAUAAAUUGAAAAUCUAAUAUAAAUUGAAACAAACAUAUAUUAAAAGAACAUCAUUUUUUGUUACAUAAUAUAUACUAAGACAUUAUUGAAACAAUUUAUAUAUAUUCUUUUAAAAUAUAACUUUUUAUAAUUUCAUCAAAUUACAUUUAAUUUUCAAUUGAUUUAGCUUAGAGGUGGGUGUAUUAAUUUAUUACCGUAAGAAAUUAGUUGUUGUAAUAAUAUUAGAAUCAGACACUCUUAAAAAUAAAAAAAAUAUUACUCAUUCUUACUUCAAAUUUUCUUCAACUAUAUCAAAUUGAAACACAAAUCAAAUGGAGAAAUAUAAAUUAUUCUAUUUUCUAAUUUAAUACUUUUUUGUUCUCUAAUAAAAAUAUAUUAGUGGUUUUUUCAAUUCAAACCAAUUAAAUUUAAUAAAAUUUACAAUAUAAUCUCAGAAUAAAAAAAUAUUAUAUUUAAUUAUUUCAAUAUAAAGUAAAUUUAAAAUGUUAUAUAAAAUUAAAAUAUAUUUUAAAUAUAAAAUAGUUUUAGUGUAAAUUCAUCCGCCCGUAGGGCGGACCAACCCCUAGUUGCCUUAAGAGGUAAUCUACUCAGUCUCUAAUGGAAGCCAUUUAUAAACAUCAACACAUUUAAUUAUAAAGAAAACAGAAACAGCUCCAACGGCUUUGGAUAAGGGUUUCAAUAAACACCAUUUUUAAAAAAAAAAAUUUGAUAAAACACCAAUUUCAUAUACUGAGCAGAUAAAAUAAGGUAGAAACCUUUAUGUAUUAAAAAGGAAAAGAAGAAGGAAGAAACCUAUUUAAUAUCAGAUUAAGUUAAUGCUUUGACGAAUCUAAUAAAGAAAAACAUAUGCAUUUUGUUUUUGAAAUGAUGAAAGCUUAGAGAGCUACUGCCUCCCCUAAAUCACUAUGAAAAUAUUUCUCUAUCCAAGAUGCUCAUGUUUUAGAUGGACGCUUUGAUCUUUCGUGACCCGGAUCAUGCUUAUCUGUUUUAUAUUACAUCGCGUUAAUUUUUUUUCUAUUUUUUUUUCUCUCUAAGGUCUGUCCUAUAUAUUUGCACAAAGACUCUUUAUAGAUAAAAGAUUAAGUUUUGCAGCGAUUUAAGUGUUUAUAAAUAACUGAUUGUGACUGUUUUUGUUUUUGCAGAUGGAUCUUCUUAUAAUCAGAACAAUGCUUAACGAUGAGAUUCAAGGAGAAGUAGCUUCAGAACCUUUUCUUUCUGGAAAUAGAAGAAAAGAAACUGAAAGACCAACAAGCUCUGUUCUUCCAACAAAACCAAGGUAAUUAAUUGCUCAUAGGGCAAAAGUAUGGGCAUUCUUUUAAUUUAAAAAGAAGAUGUCAAUGCA
Molecule: long non-coding RNA, 3871 nt
Organism: Brassica rapa (field mustard)
Lineage: Eukaryota; Viridiplantae; Streptophyta; Magnoliopsida; Brassicales; Brassicaceae
Source: RefSeq, a predicted model, not a curated record